CUGUCUCAAAAAGAAAAAUGAGGGAACUAAAAACACUAUUAAAAAAAGAAAAGAAAAGAAAAAGAAAAAAGGACACUGCUCUUCCUUGUUCUGGGGUUCCCUCUGCUCUGGACACAACAGGUCAGUGGGUCUCAAACUCUUUCUCAUCAGAAUUGCCUGGGGUGUUUAGAAAAUAACUCUGACCAAAUGAAUUAGAAUCUCUCCAGAAACCAAUGUUUCAAAUAUAAGUUCCCCAAAGUGAUUAUAAGCAGCCGAUCAAAGCACGAGAGCUACAGUUGACACAGCAAGCAGAAAGAAAUCCAAGAGACAAAAAGGCAGCCCAGAUCAGCGCUGUCACAUCAUAACACAAGUGGAUCAGAUGGGAGGGCGCUUCUCCAGGACCCCAGAGACUUCCUCUCGCUGAGAGUCCCGGCACAGCCUGGAUAGUGAGCUGAUCAGGGAAACCAAUCAGACUGUUGACCAGAGGGUAGGUGAUUAGCAGGGUGGCCAGAAAACCAAGUGACCCCGCCCAGCGUCCCUGAAGGUGGCUCUACCCAGUGACUCUUCAGCUGUACUUCACUACGGAAAAAGGCAUUCCUGAAUAUUUAACACCACUAAGAAUCAGGCAAGAGAAGGCAGGAGCUUAAACAGAGGGAAACAAGGGACACAGGAGGACAGGCAAUUAAGUUCCAAGGCUAAAGUGGAAGACAUAUUUUUAAAAAGCCAAAUGAAGCCAAGGUUUUGCAAAUGCUUCACAGGCUCAGAUUAGUUGGGGAGAUGAUUUACCCACAGACUCAAGAACACAGCCAUUCCUCAAAGGGAAAAACCACCACUGCUGGUAUACAAGAACAGAGGAUAGACUCACAGCAGGACUCCCCAGGCUUCUAGCUGGUAGCAGACCCAGAGGAGAGAAGAAUCUGAAGCAACACAAGCCAUGAGCCACACGAGGUACCCACACACCUUCCCCAGCAUGACCAGCAGGUUAGGACUUGGGAGGCUGAACUGUGUCUGGAUCAAGCCUGGCUCCACCGUUUAUUAGCUGUGUGACCUUGGCCAAGUCACACAAACGAUCACUAUCAGCUUCAGUUCCUUAUCUAAAAAAUGUCACCAUUUAAUACUAAUUGCACAGGACUGUAGUAAAAGUUAAAUAAUGUUGAGAGUGUACAGCACAACAUUAGGCUGAAGGUAAGGUUCUGACAAGUGGCAGGUUUGUUAUACCAGAGGCUAGCUAACUAGCUGUGACUAGCUGAAUGUGAGAGCUCAACAGGGCCUUACAGACCUGAUCCUAUUCUUGACAGCUAUAGAGAAGGAAAUGAAAGUGAGGCGAAGUGACCUGCCCAGAGUCACACAGCCAGUUGGUGGCAAAGCCCAACCCUGCCCAAGACUCACAACUCAAACAAGGCUCCCCUAUCAGAAACACAAAGAAAAACCCAAGAAUAAUGUCAUUACAUCUACUAAGAAUAACGGGGGCUACAACCUUCUAUGGAUGCUUUAAUAAAAUAUGGCUUGGCUUUU
Molecule: non-coding RNA, 1494 nt
Organism: Microcebus murinus (gray mouse lemur)
Lineage: Eukaryota; Metazoa; Chordata; Mammalia; Primates; Cheirogaleidae
Source: RefSeq, a predicted model, not a curated record